Molecule: long non-coding RNA, 808 nt
Filed under: Ananas comosus (pineapple)
Lineage: Eukaryota; Viridiplantae; Streptophyta; Magnoliopsida; Poales; Bromeliaceae
Description: long non-coding RNA (ACOM_LNC041331)
Source: RNAcentral
ACAUAUAAUUAAUAUAAUUAAUUAGUUACUAUAUUUUUUCAUUCUUAUACAAUAUCCAUUGCUAAUAAUUUUUUAAUUUAUUAAAUUAUUUUUAAUUAAUAUUUUGAUAUUAAUUAAUUAGACAANAAAAUAUUAUUAAAUUAAAAUUAUAAUUACUUUUAUUCAUACUAUUCCAAUCUAACCAUUCAAAUACUACCAACCUUAUUCUCAAAAACAACCUAAUUUUCAUUGAAAUAAAAAUUUACUCUAAUUCCUAUUUAUAUCUGAAUUUGUAUCUAUUCCUGAAAUAAGUAUCCAAACCAUUAAAGGAAUAACUAAAAGACAAUAAGCAAACUUGUAUUUUAAUUUGUGCUAAUAAGUAGAAGAUUAGAAUCUUUUUAUAGAAUUAAUUCAUUUCCAAUCAAUUUAAUGGUGCUUGAUCCGAGGUUCAGAUCUGUUGGAAAUAUUUUAUUAGAGUAUUUUAGAUAGUAAAAGAAAAAAAUAUAUAAAAUUUUAGUGCACUCUGUUCAUCAAUCAAACCAAUUUUUAUUCUUGAUGUUUUUUAUCGGUUGUACUUUUAGGGCUUGUUUGGUUCAUCCAUUUUUGGUAUGGAAUGGAAAUCGGUUUGAUCAAAUCUGGUUAAUUUUGUUUCGUUCGCAUGAAUUGGUUUGAGAUUCCUAUUCCGGACUGGAAUGGGAAUGGCCCAUUAGCCUUCAACUUCAUUCCGGUCUUCUAGCCCGGAUUGAGAUUACAUUUCGAAAGCCCACAAAGUUCUCGAAGCCUAUGUGACCAUCUCACCCUCCUUCUCUUCACCCCUUUCUCAUCAAAA